This 253-nucleotide ribosomal RNA is filed under the name uncultured bacterium. RNAcentral's name for it is "partial 16S ribosomal RNA". It matches the Rfam family "Bacterial small subunit ribosomal RNA", at positions 524 to 776 of the family's 1533-position model. The record is from RNAcentral.
UACAGAGGUCCCGAGCGUUGUUCGGAUUCACUGGGCGUAAAGGGUGCGCAGGUGGGUUUGCAAGUUUGAUGUGAAAGCCCCGGGCUUAACCCGGGAAUGGCAUUGAAUACUGCAGAUCUGGAGGAUUGGAGGGGGGACUGGAAUUCUUGGUGUAGCAGUGAAAUGCGUAGAUAUCAAGAGGAACACCAGUGGCGAAGGCGAGUCCCUGGACAAUACCUGACACUAAGGCACGAAAGCCAAGGGAGCAAACAGG